UAGGGAAUCUUCCGCAAUGGACGCAAGUCUGACGGAGCAACGCCGCGUGAACGAUGAAGGCCUUCGGGUCGUAAAGUUCUGUUGUUAGGGAAGAACAAGUAUCGGAGUAACUGCCGGUACCUUGACGGUACCUAACCAGAAAGCCACGGCUAACUACGUGCCAGCAGCCGCGGUAAUACGUAGGUGGCAAGCGUUGUCCGGAAUUAUUGGGCGUAAAGCGCGCGCAGGCGGUCCUUUAAGCCUGAUGUGAAAGCCCACGGCUCAACCGUGGAGGGUCAUUGGAAACUGGGGGACUUGAGUGCAGAAGAGGAAAGCGGAAUUCCACGUGUAGCGGUGAAAUGCGUAGAGAUGUGGAGGAACACCAGUGGCGAAGGCGGCUUUCUGGUCUGUAACUGACGCUGAGGCGCGAAAGCGUGGGGAGCAAACA
This 427-nucleotide ribosomal RNA is filed under the name uncultured Bacillus sp. RNAcentral describes it as "bacterial SSU rRNA". It matches the Rfam family "Bacterial small subunit ribosomal RNA", at positions 355 to 774 of the family's 1533-position model. The record is from RNAcentral. Lineage: Bacteria; Bacillati; Bacillota; Bacilli; Caryophanales; Bacillaceae.